This 935-nucleotide ribosomal RNA is filed under the name uncultured bacterium. RNAcentral describes it as "bacterial SSU rRNA". It matches the Rfam family "Bacterial small subunit ribosomal RNA", at positions 51 to 978 of the family's 1533-position model. The record is from RNAcentral.
ACACAUGCAAGUCGAGGGGCAGCAUGGUCUUAGCUUGCUAAGGCCGAUGGCGACCGGCGCACGGGUGAGUAACGCGUAUCCAACCUGCCUUACACUCUUGGACAGCCUUCUGAAAGGGAGAUUAAUACAAGAUGUUAUCAUGAGUAAGCAUUUUCGCAUGAUUAAAGGUUUACCGGUGUAAGAUGGGGAUGCGUUCCAUUAGAUAGUAGGCGGGGUAACGGCCCACCUAGUCUUCGAUGGAUAGGGGUUCUGAGAGGAAGGUCCCCCACAUUGGAACUGAGACACGGUCCAAACUCCUACGGGAGGCAGCAGUGAGGAAUAUUGGUCAAUGGACGAGAGUCUGAACCAGCCAAGUAGCGUGAAGGAUGAAGGUUCUAUGGAUUGUAAACUUCUUUUAUACGGGAAUAAACGGAUCCACGUGUGGAUUUUUGCAUGUACCGUAUGAAUAAGGAUCGGCUAACUCCGUGCCAGCAGCCGCGGUAAUACGGAGGAUCCGAGCGUUAUCCGGAUUUAUUGGGUUUAAAGGGAGCGUAGAUGGGUUGUUAAGUCAGUUGUGAAAGUUUGCGGCUCAACCGUAAAAUUGCAAUUGAUACUGGCAGUCUUGAGUACAGUUGAGGUAGGCGGAAUUCGUGGUGUAGCGGUGAAAUGCUUAGAUAUCACGAAGAACUCCGAUUGCGAAGGCAGCUUACUAACCUGUAACUGACAUUGAUGCUCGAAAGUGUGGGUAUCAAACAGGAUUAGAUACCCUGGUAGUCCACACGGUAAACGAUGAAUACUCGCUGUAGGCGAUAUACAGUCUGCGGCCAAGCGAAAGCAUUAAGUAUUCCACCUGGGGAGUACGCCGGCAACGGUGAAACUCAAAGGAAUUGACGGGGGCCCGCACAAGCGGAGGAACAUGUGGUUUAAUUCGAUGAUACGCGAGGAACCUUACCCGG